Rhagoletis pomonella (apple maggot) is the source of this 667-nucleotide RNA transcript. RefSeq lists it as uncharacterized. Lineage: Eukaryota; Metazoa; Arthropoda; Insecta; Diptera; Tephritidae. The record is from RefSeq and is a predicted model, not a curated record. The transcript is spliced from 3 exons.
UGACAAAACCUAGUUCGAUCAACAAACCUACGCCUGUUAGGUCAGCUGCUUCCGUAGAUAACGCCUAUUUUACCAGAUGCUACCGAAAUAAAGCAAGAGGAUGUACCUCGAAUCCAACCUCAACCAUCACCACCAAUAGACAUGCUCAAUUUAAACCAGCCCCAACCCCAGCUGCCGGUGCAAGAUCCACAAGCCACAACGAGUGACGCUAGUUUCGAUUUGCUUGGAGCAUUCGGGGAUGAUAAUUCAUCUGGCAUUGGCUCGGCUCCAAUACCUGAUAUUUUAGAAAUUAAUGUACAACCAACUUCAAAUGUCAACCUUGAUGAUAUCUUCGGCUCAGUUGCUUCAUCGGCGCCGAAAAUCAACCUGGAGUUUAAUAGUUUUUCUGUUAACCAGCCGACACCAACUAGUGCAAACCAACCUGGUGUAUUGGUGUGUGUCGCGUCAGUCUCAGCAAAAUAGUCUUGCAUCAACAACCAGAGCUCAGUACGUCAUAGUUAUUUUUCUUCUCUGUUUUUGGAAGCUAGUGCAAUGAGUAUAUUAUAUACAUAUAUUUGCAGUAUAUUAUAUUUUCAUUGAUCCGCUUAGUUAAGUUUAACUAUAACGAAGCAAAAUGAUGUGUAAAACCAAGUAAUUGCUUUUAAAUCUAAGUAAAAAAAUAUACAAU